CACGUAGGCACCAAGCGUUGUCCGGAUUUAUUGGGCGUAAAGAGCUCGUAGGCGGUUGAGUAAGUCGGGCGUGAAAACUCUGGGCUUAACCCAGAGCCGCCACCCGAUACUGCUCUGACUUGAGGUCGGUAGGGGAGCAGGGAAUUCCUAGUGUAGCGGUGAAAUGCGCAGAUAUUAGGAGGAACACCGGUGGCGAAGGCGCUGCUCUGGGCCGAUACUGACGCUGAGGAGCGAAAGCGUGGGUAGCAAACAGG
This 254-nucleotide ribosomal RNA is filed under the name uncultured bacterium. RNAcentral's name for it is "partial 16S ribosomal RNA". It matches the Rfam family "Bacterial small subunit ribosomal RNA", at positions 524 to 776 of the family's 1533-position model. The record is from RNAcentral.